GCUUAGGUGGCGGAAUUGGUAUACGCGCAGCACUUAAAAUGCUGUCCUCUUAAUGGGGAUGCGGGUUCGACUCCCGCCCUAAGCA
Molecule: transfer RNA, 85 nt
Filed under: Candidatus Campbellbacteria bacterium RIFCSPHIGHO2_12_FULL_35_10
Lineage: Bacteria; Candidatus Campbelliibacteriota
Also listed under: 2 other names
Description: tRNA-Leu
Rfam family: tRNA
About the family: Transfer RNA (tRNA) molecules are approximately 80 nucleotides in length.
Source: RNAcentral